This 257-nucleotide unclassified non-coding RNA is filed under the name Hevea brasiliensis (rubber tree). The record is from RNAcentral. Lineage: Eukaryota; Viridiplantae; Streptophyta; Magnoliopsida; Malpighiales; Euphorbiaceae.
GUCUUGAGUAUAAUGGAUGGGAUCCUUUAGCUGAUGGUAGGAAUUUUAGUGGGCAUGAGCAAGAUGUUUUCCAGAGCUUCAGGUUCAACUUGGAUGAGGUGGAGACUGCCACACAGUACUUCUCAGAGGUAAAUUUUUUGGGCAAGAGUAACUUUUCUGCAGCAUACAAGGGAAUUUUGAGGGAUGGCUCCGUUGUUGCUAUCAAGAGCAUUAGUAAAACUAUCUGCAAGUCAGAAGAAGCUGAAUUCUUGAAGGGG